This 279-nucleotide ribosomal RNA is filed under the name uncultured bacterium. RNAcentral's name for it is "partial 16S ribosomal RNA". It matches the Rfam family "Bacterial small subunit ribosomal RNA", at positions 506 to 784 of the family's 1533-position model. The record is from RNAcentral.
UGCCAGCAGCCGCGGUAACACGUACUGUGCGAACGUUAUUCGGAAUCACUGGGCUUAAAGGGUGCGUAGGCGGCUAGAUUAGUAGGAUGUGAAAUCCCACAGCUCAACUGUGGAACUGCGUUCUAAACUGUCUAGCUUGAGUAAGAUAGGGGUAUACGGAACUUCCAGUGGAGCGGUGAAAUGUGUUGAUAUUGGAAGGAACACCGGUGGCGAAGGCGGUAUACUGGGUCUUUACUGACGCUGAGGCACGAAAGCUAGGGGAGCGAACGGGAUUAGAUA